This 253-nucleotide ribosomal RNA is filed under the name uncultured Glomus. Its description in RNAcentral is "partial 18S ribosomal RNA". It matches the Rfam family "Eukaryotic small subunit ribosomal RNA", at positions 569 to 829 of the family's 1831-position model. The record is from RNAcentral. Lineage: Eukaryota; Fungi; Glomeromycota; Glomeromycetes; Glomerales; Glomeraceae.
AGCAGCCGCGGUAAUUCCAGCUCCAAUAGCGUAUAUUAAAGUUGUUGCAGUUAAAAAGCUCGUAGUUGAAUUUCGGGAUCAAGUCGUCGGUCGUGCUUAGGUACGUACUGGCGUCAUUGAUUUCUCCCUUCUGACGAACCAUGAUGUCAUUAAUUUGGUGUUAUGGGAAAUCAGGACUGUUACUUUGAAAAAUUAGAGUGUUUAAAGCAGGCUCACGCUUGAAUACAUUAGCAUGGAAUAAUGAAAUAGGACG